AGCUGAGAUUGUGCCACUGUACUCCAGCCUGGGUGACAGAACGAAACUCUGUCUCAAAAACAAACCAAAAAAAACAAUAAAAAAGAAAGACCACUUCUGCAUUUUCCUUAAGAUUUAUUUGUUCCUCCCACUAAGACUUCUCACCCAGAGACUAGAAUCCCCCAACUCUUCUGGUCCCCUUUGGCCCUGCCAGGUCAUCUGGUGGUCUGUCAAAGUUCUAAGACACUCUCUGGCAUAUUAGAGACAACUGCUCUCAUAAGCACUAUGAUCUGGCCUUUCUCUUAUGUCCCAGGAGAGAUCCAGCUAAGAAUAGUGAGCAUAAGGAAAUCUGAGAAAAGAAUGAUCACAAGAUGGGUCAGGAUGGCGACAAGGGUCUCCCACCUCAGUUUUGGUCUUUUUUGGUGCAUUGGUCUCCUCACUUUCACUCUCUGAGAUCUCCUCACUCCGACCCUGCUUGUUGACCUUUGGGGUGGAGGCUUCCUCUACUCUGGCCUUCUGUUAGAGAGAAAGAAAAUUCCUGUCUUUUCCCUACCUCCCAAGCUUCACCGUUACCCUCUGCCAAACAGGAAGUUCCCCCGACAACACACACACCCCCUCAGCCCCAGUGCCUGGGCAUCCUGUGGGAGGACCUGAGGACAGAAUACCUUGGCUGUCUGCCUGGACUUCUCAGCUUUGCCAUCACUGCUGGACGUGCUGACCCCUCCAGGGGAGGCCCGGCCCCUCGAUCUCAGUUCUUCCCGGGGCCCAGGGGCCUCUUUCUUCCGUCCACUCCUCAUUGACAUCUGCAGGAGGAGGAAGGAGGUGGAGAGAUUUGGAGAAACACCUAUGAUCUGCAAGGAACAUAUCUACCUGUUCAAACAGACUGCAACAUGAAAGGGUACACGCCGCCGUGGGGAAACUCCCAUCCACCAACAGAUCCAGAAACAUCCUCCAGAACCCAGCCCAGAGUCCCAAGGACAUAGCCGCAGGCCGACGUCCAAUGAAGAUUCGAAGCCCCCCGCCUACCAAUUGGACAUCCCACUGGAUCACUACCAUAGCGACACAGUGGCAAAAGGUGCCCCCAAGAGACCAUCCCAGGAGUCCAUCUGGAAGCCACCCCUGCCCCCUCCCAGUUGCCAAAGCAACUCCUACUCUCCUAUAGCACCUCAGGGAAGGGAGCUUAAAGGUACCUACCCUAGUCGAAAUAAGCCCAUGCACAAAGGGAGAUCUUUGAGCUCAAAGCAGUAACUAAGGCCUCCCUAUAUAGAUCACAGCCCCAGGGGCAGCGGACGCUCCGGAAAUUGGAGGGUGGAGGGUGGAGGUCGCAACUUGCUUGGAGUGCCUGUAAGGUUGCUCAAUUAUCUCAUUUCCAUCCUCCCAGAACCCCUUUCUUCCCAACUCCCCCUUCUGUGUUCCUGUUUUCCUCCUCAUUAGUUUUGGGAUAACCCACACUACUGGGCCCCAGUGUCCUCUCCAAGAAGUAACUAUGUCUGGGAUGGGGAAAACAGGGUCAGAGGUGACCUGGAGUAGGGGAAUGAAAACCGUCACAAAGACA
Long non-coding RNA from Macaca mulatta (Rhesus monkey), 1534 nucleotides. RefSeq lists it as uncharacterized. Lineage: Eukaryota; Metazoa; Chordata; Mammalia; Primates; Cercopithecidae. The record is from RefSeq and is a predicted model, not a curated record.